CUCGCAUCUCGCAUUAGAUUCAACAAGUAUUUAGAGGUUUUCAGUCCGAUUUUGUUUCAAUUCAGUGAUUUAGUGCACAAUUAAUGAUCUACAUUGGCGAUGACAUUAUUUGCAAGCUUUUGUUAUAUGUAUUGCUGUGAAUUUGUUGCUUUGAUUUGAUGUAAAACUUAAUGUUCGUCGUAUUUGGGAUUAUAAAGUGCGUUGACAAUUUGAUGAUUGUUGAUAUCGUUUCGAGAAAUAGGUUAUGGCUAAUACAUAUACUACAGUUCCAAAUAUUUUCUUUUAUGGAUGACGGUGAAGAAACUCUAUUCUACAUGAUGGAGGCCCAUGUAAAUGUUUUAUUGUACAAAACCAUCCUAUAUUUAAUAACUACAUGAGGUAACUUGAGUAAGAAUUUGUGGAUGUUAGUACUUGCAUGUUUUUUAUCGCAAUGGAUAUAUUCCUGAUUUGUAUGAUUAAAUGUCCACGAAACACUUUAAGGUACAUGUAAAUCGUAAUACAUUAUUGAAAUCUUAGCCAUUUGAUCUACUAUUAAAGCUGGAUUCUGCAAGUUUAUGAAACAUGCAUCUUUAUUUACUAAUUUCUGUCAGUAAUUGUUGUCUGUUUUAAUAUGAAUUCAGCAGUUAAUUUACGGUGUACAUAUUUUGCU
Ctenocephalides felis (cat flea) is the source of this 649-nucleotide long non-coding RNA. RefSeq lists it as uncharacterized. The transcript is spliced from 3 exons. The record is from RefSeq and is a predicted model, not a curated record. Lineage: Eukaryota; Metazoa; Arthropoda; Insecta; Siphonaptera; Pulicidae.